AUGGCCGCCUCCCUCUCCUCCCCUCCCUCCUUCCAUCUCCUCCCCGCCCCCGCGCCCCGCCUCUCCCCCAACUCCACAGCUACUCCCCGAGCAAAGCGCAAGAGCAAUUGGAGGAAGCCUCGUCCCUUGUUCUGCUCCGCUGCCCCAUCCCCGUCCCCUUCGGCUUCACUCACCACCACCGCCGGUGCGGCCAAGGCCGGUUCAUGGAGGGACCUAUGCAGCCUCAACGCCUGGGUGGUGGGCGACUACUACCGCCUCGUCUCCGCCGUCAACGCACUCGAGCCGCCUCUUCGGAGGCUUUCCGACGAACAGCUGAAGGGGAAGACGGAGGAGUUCCGCGCGCGCCUGGGCCGCGGGGAGACGCUCGCCGACGUUCAGGCAGAGGCGUUUUCUGUGGUGAGGGAGGCGGCAAGGAGGACGCUCGGCAUGCGGCACUUCGAUGUUCAGAUUAUUGGUGGCGCUGUGCUCCACGAUGGGUGCAUUGCGGAGAUGAAGACUGGCGAGGGGAAGACACUCGUGUCGACCUUGGCAGCUUAUCUCAAUGCACUGACUGGGGAUGGAGUUCAUGUGGUGACUGUAAACAAUUAUUUGGCACAGCGAGAUGCUGAAUGGAUGGGCCGCGUUCAUCGUUUUCUUGGCCUAACUGUCGGUCUAAUUCAGGCAGGUAUGAAGUCUGAUGAGAGGAGAGCCAACUAUAUGUGUGACAUUACAUACACUAAUAACUCGGAGCUUGGAUUUGAUUAUCUUCGUGACAACUUGUCACGUAAGAAAGAACAGUUAGUCAUGAGAUGGCCAAGACCAUUCCAUUUUUCUAUCGUGGAUGAAGUGGACUCAGUGCUUAUAGAUGAAGGAAGAAACCCAUUGUUAAUAAGUGGAGAGGAUAAUAGAGAAGCAGCACGGUAUCCAGUUGCUGCUAAAGUUGCAGAUCUUCUCAUAGAGGGUGCUCAUUAUACUGUAGAACUGAAGGGCAAUAAUAUAGAUCUAACAGAGGAUGGAGUUACUUAUGCUGAGACGAUUCUUGGGACCAAUGAUCUGUGGGAUGAGAAUGAUCCGUGGGCAAGAUUUGUGACAAAUGCAUUGAAGGCCAAAGAGUUCUACCGCAGGGAUGUACAGUACAUUGUUAGGAAUGGAAAAGCUCUCAUAAUUAAUGAGCUUACUGGUCGAGUCGAACCCAAAAGGAGGUGGUCUGAUGGUAUUCAUCAAGCAGUAGAAGCAAAAGAAGGCCUCAAAAUCCAGGCAGACUCAGUAAUUGUGGCUCAGAUUACGUAUCAGUCUCUGUUUAAGCUUUAUCCUAAGCUUUCCGGGAUGACAGGUACUGCUAAGACAGAGGAAAAGGAAUUUCUGAAGAUGUUUAAGAUGCCAGUCAUUGAGGUGCCCACGAAUCUGCCAAAUAUACGGGUGGACUUACCUAUCCAAGCUUUUGCGACUUUAAGGGGCAAAUGGCAAUAUGUCCGGGAAGAGGUAGAGUAUAUGUUUCAAUUGGGCCGUCCUGUUUUGGUUGGAACUACCAGUGUUGAGAGUUCAGAAUACCUGUCGGAUCUUCUUAAGUCUCGUAAUAUUCCUCACAAUGUACUUAAUGCAAGACCAAAGUAUGCUGCUAGAGAAGCUGAGAUAAUUGCACAGGCUGGAAGGAAACAUGCAAUUACAAUUUCAACGAACAUGGCAGGCAGAGGGACAGACAUCAUUUUAGGUGGCAACCCUAAGAUGCUUGCAAAAGAAAUUGUAGAAGACAAUGUACUUCCAUUUCUGUCGCACGACACCCCAGAUGUCGAAACUGAGGGGGAGUCCACAUCCCACAAGGGUCUUUCCAAGAUAAAACUCGGGCCAUCGUCACUAGCUCUGCUUGCCAAAGCUGCAAUCAUGGCAAAAUAUGUUCACAAAAGUGAGAGCAAUGAAUGGUCUUUUCAGAAGGUGAAAUCCACUAUUAUGGAGUCAAUUGAAAUGAGUAAUACAAUUGGGUUGGAAAAACUACAAGAGCGCGUGGCUGAAGUGACUGAGAUGUACCCUCUUUGUGAUGCAAUAGCACUUGCUUAUGCGACUGUCUUAAAGGAUUGCGAAAUUCAUUGUUUUGACGAGGGUGCUGAGGUGAAGACAUUAGGUGGGCUUCAUGUAAUAGGAACUUCUUUGCAUGAGUCGCGCCGAAUUGAUAACCAAUUACGUGGUAGAGCUGGCAGGCAAGGUGAUCCUGGUUCCACACGGUUUAUGGUGAGCUUACAAGAUGAAAUGUUCCGGAAGUUUAAUUUGGACACAGAAUGGGCCGUGAGACUAAUAUCAAGGAUAACAGAUGGCGAAGACAUAGCGAUCGAGAGCAAUGCUGUUGUAAAACAGCUUCUAGGCCUUCAAAUCAAUGCAGAGAAGUAUUAUUUUGGCAUAAGGAAAAACCUUGUUGAGUUUGAUGAAGUCUUGGAGGUCCAAAGAAAGCACAUCUAUAGCCUUAGGCAGGUGAUAUUAUCAGGUGACUCUGAAAGCUGCAGUGAACAAAUUUUCCAGUACAUGCAAGCUGUAGUUGAUGAAAUUAUUCUGGGAAAUGUUGAUCCCCAGAAGCCACCUAAGACGUGGGAUUUGGCAAAGCUUUUGGAUGAGUUUGCCAGUCUAGGCGGAAAUUUGCUGACAGAAACAUUCAAGGAGACCCAAGAGGAAGACCUACAAUCAUCACUUGAGCAAAUACUUAGAUAUGGCUCUGUGGAGGUCGAUAAUUUUGUUCUCCCAAACAUGCCAGUGCCACCUAAUUCAUUCAGGGGAAUUCGUAAGAGAACAUCUUCAGCAAUGCGAUGGUUUGCCAUGUGUGGUGAUGAUACAUCAAAGAAAGGGAGAUAUACAAACAUUGUCAAUCUUCUUCGGAAAUAUUUUGGGGAUUUUCUAAUAGCUACCUACCUGGAAGUGCUGCAAGAGUCCCGUUAUCAUGAUGCGUACAUCAGGGGAAUAGAGAGGGAAGCACUCCUGAAGACACUUGAUAUGUUGUGGAAGGACCAUUUAGUUAACAUGAACAAGCUUAGUUCUGCGGUGAAUGUCCGGAGCUUUGGGCACAGAAAUCCUCUGGAGGAGUAUAAGAUUGAUGGCUGCCGGUUCUUCAUCUCAAUGUUGAGUACCACACGACGAUUGACAGUCGAAGCCCUACUCCGUUACUGGUCAUCUCCAAUGGAAUCUGAAGAGAUAUUCAACACUGCGGAUCAAUAG
RNAcentral lists this ribosomal RNA (3177 nucleotides) under Triticum aestivum (bread wheat). RNAcentral's name for it is "partial small subunit ribosomal RNA". The record is from RNAcentral. Lineage: Eukaryota; Viridiplantae; Streptophyta; Magnoliopsida; Poales; Poaceae.